GACGAACGCUGGCGGCAUGCCUAAUACAUGCAAGUCGAGCGAACAGAUGAAGUGCUUGCACUUCUGACGUUAGCGGCGAACGGGUGAGUAACACGUAAGGAAUCUACCUAUAAGCGGGGGAUAACAUUCGGAAACGGGUGCUAAUACCGCAUAAUAUCUUCUUCCGCAUGGAAGAAGAUUGAAAGACGGCUCUGCUGUCACUUAUAGAUGACCUUGCGGUGCAUUAGUUAGUUGGUGGGGUAACGGCCUACCAAGACGAUGAUGCAUAGCCGACCUGAGAGGGGGAUCGGCCACAGUGGGACUGAGACACGGCCCAAACUCCUACGGGAGGCAGCAGUAGGGAACCUUCCGCAAUGGGCGAAAGCCUGACGGAGCAAUGCCGCGUGAGUGAAGAAGGCCUUCGGGUCGUAAAACUCUGUUAUAAGAGAAGAACAAAUUGUAGAGUAACUGCUACAGUCUUGACGGUAUCUUAUCAGAAAGCCACGGCUAACUACGUGCCAGCCGCCGCGGUAA
This 513-nucleotide ribosomal RNA is filed under the name uncultured bacterium. RNAcentral describes it as "partial 16S ribosomal RNA". It matches the Rfam family "Bacterial small subunit ribosomal RNA", at positions 28 to 523 of the family's 1533-position model. The record is from RNAcentral.